AGAGUUUGAUCCUGGCUCAGGAUGAACGCUAGCUACAGGCUUAACACAUGCAAGUCGAGGGGAAACGAUGAGAGAGCUUGCUCUCUCAGGCGUCGACCGGCGCACGGGUGAGUAACACGUAUCCAACCUGCCUUUUUCCAGGGAAUAACCUUGCGAAAGUAAGACUAAUGCCCUAUGUGUCCUCCGACGGCAUCAGACGAGGACGAAAGAUUUAUCGGAAGAGGAUGGGGAUGCGCCUGAUUAGGCAGUUGGCGGGGCAACGGCCCACCAAACCGACGAUCAGUAGGGGUUCUGAGAGGAAGGUCCCCCACAUUGGAACUGAGACACGGUCCAAACUCCUACGGGAGGCAGCAGUGAGGAAUAUUGGUCAAUGGACGAGAGUCUGAACCAGCCGAGUAGCGUGCAGGACGACGGCCCUAUGGGUUGUAAACUGCUUUUGUACGGGGAUAAAGUGAGCCACGUGUGGUUUAUUGCAGGUACCGUACGAAUAAGGACCGGCUAAUUCCGUGCCAGCAGCCGCGGUAAUACGGAAGGUCCGGGCGUUAUCCGGAUUCAUUGGGUUUAAAGGGAGCGUAGGCCGCCCCUUA
Molecule: ribosomal RNA, 587 nt
Filed under: uncultured bacterium
Lineage: Bacteria
Description: bacterial SSU rRNA
Rfam family: Bacterial small subunit ribosomal RNA
Source: RNAcentral